Triticum aestivum (bread wheat) is the source of this 135-nucleotide non-coding RNA. The record is from Rfam. NCBI's taxonomy places the organism in Eukaryota, Viridiplantae, Streptophyta, Magnoliopsida, Poales, Poaceae.
UUUUUACUCCAUCCGUCCGAAAAUACUUGUCAUCAAAAUAGAUAAAAAGGGAUGUAUCUAUAACUAAAAUACGUCUAGAUACAUCCCCUUUUGUUCAUCUUGAUGACAAGUAUUUCCGAACGGAGGGAGUAUUUC